This 291-nucleotide ribosomal RNA is filed under the name Uromacer catesbyi. RNAcentral's name for it is "partial 12S ribosomal RNA". Lineage: Eukaryota; Metazoa; Chordata; Lepidosauria; Squamata; Dipsadidae. The record is from RNAcentral.
AAAGACUUGACGGUACUUCACACCAACCUAGAGGAGCCUGUCCAAUAACCGAUACUCCGCGAUUAACCCCACCCACCCUAGCCUUUUAGCAGUCUAUAUACCGCCGUCGCCAGCCCACCUUGUGAAAGAAAUAAAGUGAGCCAAAUAGGCCUAACCCUAACACGACAGGUCAAGGUGUAACUUAUGGGUCGGUAAAAGAUGGGCUACAUUUUCUUAAACAGAACACACGAAUAAACUAUGAAAUUAGAAACUGAAGGUGGAUUUAGCAGUAUGAUAAGAAUAGAACACUUA